CUUAGGAUAACCGCCCUUAAACCGAA
This 26-nucleotide transfer RNA is filed under the name Ninox rufa (Rufous owl). Its description in RNAcentral is "partial tRNA-Trp". Lineage: Eukaryota; Metazoa; Chordata; Aves; Strigiformes; Strigidae. The record is from RNAcentral. RNAcentral also lists the same sequence under 3 other names.